UACGUAGGUGGCAAGCGUUGUCCGGAUUUAUUGGGUUUAAAGGGUGCGUAGGCGGCUUUGUAAGUCAGUGGUGAAAUAUGGCAGCUCAACUGUCAGGGUGCCAUUGAUACUGCGGAGCUUGAGUACAGAUGAGGUAGGCGGAAUUGACGGUGUAGCGGUGAAAUGCUUAGAUAUCGUCAAGAACACCGAUAGCGAAGGCAGCUUACUGGGCUGUAACUGACGCUGAGGCCCGAAAGUGUGGGGAGCAAACAGG
Molecule: ribosomal RNA, 253 nt
Filed under: uncultured bacterium
Lineage: Bacteria
Description: partial 16S ribosomal RNA
Rfam family: Bacterial small subunit ribosomal RNA
Source: RNAcentral